GACGAACGCUGGCGGCGUGCUUAACACAUGCAAGUCGAACGAGAGCGUAGAGAAAGCUUGCUUUUUCUACAAUCUAGUGUCAAACGGGUGAGUAACGCGUAAACAACCUGCCCUACGGAUGUGGACAACAGCUGGAAACGGCUGCUAAUACCGAAUACUUUCCUAAAGUCGCAUCACUAUCGGAAGAAAUAAUUGCCUCUAUUUAUAAGCUAUCGCCGGAGGAGGGGUUUGUGUCUGAUUAGCUUGUUGGGGGGGUAACGGCCUCAAAAGGCGACGAUCAGUAGCCGGUCUGAGAGGAUGAACGGCCAAAUUGGGAAGGGAACACGGUCCAGAAUCCUACGGGAGGCAGCAGUGGGGAAUCUUCCGAAAAGGGCGAAAGCCUGACGGAGCAACGCCGGGUGAGUGCAGACGGCCUUCAGGUUGUAAAGCUCUGUUAUACGGGACGAAUAAUAUGGUGGUUAAUACCCAUGAGAAGUGACGGUACCGGAAGAGAAAGCCACGGCUAACUACGUG
Molecule: ribosomal RNA, 513 nt
Filed under: uncultured bacterium
Lineage: Bacteria
Description: partial 16S ribosomal RNA
Rfam family: Bacterial small subunit ribosomal RNA
Source: RNAcentral